UCUCCGUAGGUGAACCUGCGGAGGGAUCAUUACUGAGUGAGGGCUCACGCCCGACCUCCAACCCUUUGGGAACACAUCUUGUUGCUUCGGGGGCGACCCUGCCGGCACUCGGUCGCCGGGCGCCCCCGAAGGUCUCCCAACACUGCAUCGUUGCGUCGGAGCUUAAAACGAAUCAAACAAAACUUUCAACAACGGAUCUCUUGGUGCUGGCAUCGAUGAAGAACGCAGC
Molecule: unclassified non-coding RNA, 229 nt
Filed under: uncultured fungus
Lineage: Eukaryota; Fungi
Description: sequence contains ITS1, 5.8S rRNA gene
Rfam family: 5.8S ribosomal RNA (bases 181-229)
Source: RNAcentral